This 698-nucleotide long non-coding RNA is filed under the name Eutrema salsugineum. RNAcentral's name for it is "long non-coding RNA (ESAL_LNC001072)". The record is from RNAcentral. Lineage: Eukaryota; Viridiplantae; Streptophyta; Magnoliopsida; Brassicales; Brassicaceae.
UCAAAUAUCAAAUUCUCUGAGCUUCAGAUUUUGCUCGUCGAGAAGAGCGGAGAGACGAAAUCAGGUCCGUGUUUGCACAAUGGCGACCGAAUUCCGCUCUUCGCCUCUUUCAAGUACGCCGAUAGUCUCACCGUCGUCGGAAUCUGCUGGUGCUGCUGGGUUGUUCUCCAUGCCGGAUCCAAAGACGGAUUGAUUCAGGUCUGAUCUGAUUAUGCAUAGUGUCGCCUUGUAUUUUGAUGAUUUCUGAGCUCUUUAAUGCUGAUUUAGCGGUUUUUUAGCUGAAAUGUAACUAAUUUGAUUCAAAGUUCCAAGUUUUAAGUUUCCGGUUUUGAUUCCGUUUGCUUGUACACAAGCAUUACAUAAUUUCUGCUCCUCAUUAAGGCUUAGAUGUCGUAGCAAUCUUAAGGGUACAGGUCAUAUGGUUUUCUUUACUGCAAAUACAAUCGGGUUCCUUUUGCUCAUUUGUGCACGGAGGCUUGAGGUUUCAUGCAAAUGGAUUGUUUGGAGAUUGAAAUGAGAGGUUGUUGAACGAUACAGAUAACAAGAGAAUGAGAGUAAGAGUAAGAAAUGGGGAGGUGGACGACUAUGCUUCAGUGUUUUUUUUUUUAUAAUAGAGAACUCUCCUAUGUGUUUCUUCAGCUAAAAGGCAAUAUGGCCAUCACUAGAUUUUGUUUUAUUUCUUACAGUAAGUUUUCACC